UACGGAGGGUGCAAGCGUUGUCCGGAAUCACUGGGCGUAAAGGGCGCGUAGGCGGCUCAUGAAGGCUGUGGUGAAAGUCCGGGGCUCAACCUCGGAUCGGCCGUGGCGACUCGUGGGCUGGAGCACUGUAGGGGCGGGUGGAAUUCCGGGUGUAGCGGUGGAAUGCGUAGAGAUCCGGAAGAACACCAGUGGCGAAGGCGGCCCGCUGGGCAGUGGCUGACGCUGAGGCGCGACAGCGUGGGGAGCAAACAGG
This 253-nucleotide ribosomal RNA is filed under the name uncultured bacterium. RNAcentral describes it as "partial 16S ribosomal RNA". It matches the Rfam family "Bacterial small subunit ribosomal RNA", at positions 524 to 776 of the family's 1533-position model. The record is from RNAcentral.